RNAcentral lists this ribosomal RNA (465 nucleotides) under Vreelandella stevensii. RNAcentral describes it as "partial 16S ribosomal RNA". It matches the Rfam family "Bacterial small subunit ribosomal RNA", at positions 338 to 795 of the family's 1533-position model. Lineage: Bacteria; Pseudomonadati; Pseudomonadota; Gammaproteobacteria; Oceanospirillales; Halomonadaceae. The record is from RNAcentral.
CCUACGGGUGGCAGCAGUGGGGAAUAUUGGACAAUGGGCGAAAGCCUGAUCCAGCCAUGCCGCGUGUGUGAAGAAGGCCUUCGGGUUGUAAAGCACUUUCAGUGGGGAAGAAAGCCUUGGGGCUAAUACCCUCGAGGAAGGACAUCACCCACAGAAGAAGCACCGGCUAACCCCGUGCCAGCAGCCGCGGUAAUACGGAGGGUGCGAGCGUUAAUCGGAAUUACUGGGCGUAAAGCGCGCGUAGGCGGUCUGAUAAGCCGGUUGUGAAAGCCCCGGGCUCAACCUGGGAACGGCAUCCGGAACUGUCAGGCUAGAGUGCAGGAGAGGAAGGUAGAAUUCCCGGUGUAGCGGUGAAAUGCGUAGAGAUCGGGAGGAAUACCAGUGGCGAAGGCGGCCUUCUGGACUGACACUGACGCUGAGGUGCGAAAGCGUGGGUAGCAAACAGGAUUAGAUACCCUAGUAGUC